AGAGACAGCAGUAGCCACGGGAAUACGGAGGAUCCAAGCGUUAUCCGGAAUCAUUGGGUUUAAAGGGUCCGUAGGCGGUCUUGUAAGUCAGUGGUGAAAGCCCAUCGCUCAACGGUGGAACGGCCAUUGAUACUGCAGGACUUGAAUUAUUGGGAAGUAACUAGAAUAUGUAGUGUAGCGGUGAAAUGCUUAGAGAUUACAUGGAAUACCAAUUGCGAAGGCAGGUUACUACCAAUUGAUUGACGCUGAUGGACGAAAGCGUGGGUAGCGAACAGGAUUAGAUACCCCCGUAGUCCCUGUCUCUUAUAC
This 309-nucleotide ribosomal RNA is filed under the name uncultured bacterium. Its description in RNAcentral is "partial 16S ribosomal RNA". It matches the Rfam family "Bacterial small subunit ribosomal RNA", at positions 504 to 807 of the family's 1533-position model. The record is from RNAcentral.